This 1123-nucleotide ribosomal RNA is filed under the name Vibrio sp. Evd3. Its description in RNAcentral is "bacterial LSU rRNA". The record is from RNAcentral. Lineage: Bacteria; Pseudomonadati; Pseudomonadota; Gammaproteobacteria; Vibrionales; Vibrionaceae.
AAACACAGCACUGUGCAAAAUCGUAAGAUGACGUAUACGGUGUGACGCCUGCCCGGUGCCGGAAGGUUAAUUGAUGGGGUUAGACUUCGGUCGAAGCUCUUGAUCGAAGCCCCGGUAAACGGCGGCCGUAACUAUAACGGUCCUAAGGUAGCGAAAUUCCUUGUCGGGUAAGUUCCGACCUGCACGAAUGGCGUAAUGAUGGCCACGCUGUCUCCACCCGAGACUCAGUGAAAUUGAAAUCGCUGUGAAGAUGCAGUGUACCCGCGGCUAGACGGAAAGACCCCGUGAACCUUUACUACAGCUUGGCACUGAACAUUGAACCUACAUGUGUAGGAUAGGUGGGAGACUUUGAAACCGCGUCGCUAGAUGUGGUGGAGUCGUCCUUGAAAUACCACCCUUGUAGUUUUGAUGUUCUAACGUUGGUCCCUGAAUCGGGAUUACGGACAGUGCCUGGUGGGUAGUUUGACUGGGGCGGUCUCCUCCCAAAGAGUAACGGAGGAGCACGAAGGUGGGCUAAACACGGUUGGACAUCGUGUGGUUAGUGCAAUGGCAUAAGCCCGCUUGACUGCGAGAAUGACAAUUCGAGCAGGUGCGAAAGCAGGUCAUAGUGAUCCGGUGGUUCUGAAUGGAAGGGCCAUCGCUCAACGGAUAAAAGGUACUCCGGGGAUAACAGGCUGAUACCGCCCAAGAGUUCAUAUCGACGGCGGUGUUUGGCACCUCGAUGUCGGCUCAUCACAUCCUGGGGCUGAAGUCGGUCCCAAGGGUAUGGCUGUUCGCCAUUUAAAGUGGUACGCGAGCUGGGUUUAGAACGUCGUGAGACAGUUCGGUCCCUAUCUGCCGUGGGCGUUGGAAAAUUGAAAGGGGCUGCUCCUAGUACGAGAGGACCGGAGUGGACGAACCUCUGGUGUUCGGGUUGUCAUGCCAAUGGCAUUGCCCGGUAGCUAAGUUCGGAAUCGAUAACCGCUGAAAGCAUCUAAGCGGGAAGCGAGCCUUGAGAUGAGUUUUCCCUGGCRCUAUAAGYGUCCUAAAGGGUUGUCGUAGACUACGACGUUGAUAGGCAGGGUGUGUAAGUGCUGCGAGGCAUUGAGCUAACCUGUACUAAUUGCCCGUGAGGCUUAACCAU